UGGCAUAUCCUUUGCUCACAAAAGCAAUGAUAACUUAAGUUUUAAAUCAUGGUGGUAUAUUCAAACAACAUUGGUUAACUAUAUAUAUAGAGAUACAACUUUCAUGCAGAACACUUUGGCUGCAUCUUCUUGUUAAAACCAAGACCAAAUAAAAUUUUAGCAGCUCACAUUUCUGCAGUUGAUGCAUCAAUGGCUUCCAACAUUAAUGAAUAGUUUCAAGUAUUUGGCCACCCCAUCAUCCUGGAGCAAAAUCCAAUUGAGUAAGCCAGUUAUCCAAAAACAUAAAAUGUGGAGCAACACUGAUUCUAUACUAUGACAGUGCAGACAUGUCAUAGGCUUCAAAUUCUCUGGUAAGGUGAUAAUAUCCAUGUGACUUGGCAUAGGUAGCUCUGGGGAAGCAAUGUGUUAGAAUGGUCACUCAUUGUCGAGUCUCUCUUAACUCACACACUCAAUAUUAUCGAGAAUUUCUCAAUUCAUAUAUUCAAUGUUAUUGAUGUGAACUUGAUAACUUCUAUAUAAAAAAGUUAGUUUAAUAAAGUGAAAAUUACUCAACUUGUAUACUUGAUUUUAUCUCUAGUUUAUUAUAAUUUUCACUUAAAGUAGUGGAUUUUUUAUAAUAAUUUUGAAUCAUAAAGAUUUUUUAUAAAAAUUUGAACUAGUUUUGAAUUAUAUAUAUAUAUAUAUAUAUAUAUAUUUAUAAUGUUAUAUUUUACUAUAAACUAGUUCAAAUCCAACAAUCGUAAGUGAACUAAGGUAUAUCUAUUAAAUGGAAAAGAAAAAUAAAAUAAAAGCAUUAUUAUUAAUUUUUUGAAUCAUAAUAUUAAAUUAAUAACAUAAAUAUUAUAUAUAAAAUAACUAUUAAAAUAACAGUACAAUAUAAGAAAGACAUAAAGAAAAUAAAUUAAAUAUACAAAUAUAUAUGAAAAAUUAUGUAAAUUUUCACAAGAGAAUUAAACCAUUACUUCACAAGAGAAUUAGACGCUAAUCCAUUCGUCUUAAUGGUAAUUAGAUAAUGCAUAUUAACCACACUAGUUUGAGUGAAUCAUUUUAAUCAUUUAUUUAUUAUACACACAUUUUAUGGUUCUAUUACUAUCUCCCCUCUUUUGUUCCACAAAUUCCUCUCAAGAACUCCUAGUGUUUAUGAUGAUGGAUGGUGAUCCAAUCAAGAACAAGCUAUUUUCAAUAUUCAUUUCUUAUUUAUUUCCUAACCAAGGAAAAAUUCUCUUUUCUUCUUUGUUUCUUUGUUUCUUUGUUUUUCAAAUUUUCAAAAUUCAAAGAUGUGUCUUCAUUGAUAUACAUGCAGGGGAAACAUAUCAUUGUUUCUCUUGUUCAAUCUCAGAUAGCCUAUGAAGUUAUAAAAGGUUUUAUUGAUAUUUCAUUUAACUUUUAGUUUUGACAUAUAUAGCAUCUCUUUUUUAUUAUACAUGAUGAAAUGGUUUUGAUUUCUAAUAAUUGUAAACAUUAUAUCAUACAUGUAUUUGACUUUUACCACACUUAAUUUGUUUAUUUUUUACAUUCCAUUAUGAAUUGAGCAUUGUUUCUUCAUCAAUUUGAUGCUUGUAUACAAUUAAUUUGUUUAUGACUUCCUUUUUCCUCUAUGUGGACUUGAAACUACAACACAUUUUACUUAAUUCAUCUUUUUUUUAUAAUUAUAUAUGUAUUUUGAACAAAUAGCUACUUAUUUUUACAACUUUUCUAUUACAACUUUUGGUCAAAAAAAAUAAAACAAUUGUUUCUUAAUUUGUUAUCAAAUAUAGCCAAUAACGAGAGGAAAUAAACCUAGAAAUAUGUUUAAUAGGACAUGACAUUGAAACAAUAGUUUACAUGCAAGAUAUCCUUUAAUUUUUAAUAUUUGUGUUUGUAGAAAUUCCUCUUAAAAGGUGUCAUUGCAUUGUUGAUCAAAACCUACCCAAAGCUCCAAUUUUACCUAAAGUAAGAGUUAUUUGUUCUUUCAUUUAAGCAUAAAUUUUUAACCAUGAUGAUGAUUAGUGGAAAUUAAUUGAAUUUCAAAUGCAGAUUCUUGAGAUGAAUAGGCUUAUGCAAAUUCAUCAAAUAAUUUAGAAAGUCAUAUCCAAAAAGAAAAUUAAUACUACAAGAAAAUCAUCAAAUAGAAACCAAUUUUUAGAGACCAAAAUAAUUAGUUACAAUAGGAACUAAAAUAGAGACCAUUUUAGAAACUAAAAAAAAUUUGGUUUCUAAAUUAGUUUCUAUUAUUUUCUAUUAUUGUUAAAUAGUUUCUAAAUUGGUAUCUAAUUAGCAACUAAGGUUUUUANNNNNNNNNNNNNNNNNNNNNNNNNNNNNNNNNNNNNNNNNNNNNNNNNNNNNNNNNNNNNNNNNNNNNNNNNNNNNNNNNNNNNNNNNNNNNNNNNNNNAAAUAAUAGAAACUAAUUUAGAAACCAAUUUUUUUUUAGUUUCUAAAAUGGUCUCUAAUUUAGUUACUAUUGCAACUAAUUAUUUUGGUUUCUAGAAAUUGGUUUCUAUUUCAUGAUUUUCUUGUAGUGUAAUAUGCAAAUCAUGGUUAGAUAAAGUGAGUACAAAACCAAUAGAGAAAGAGAAAUAGAAAAGUUUCUAAAACUAAUGCAAAGGUGACAAGUAAACCAACAUUUAAACCUCACCAAUUUUGCAGAUCAUAACAAUAUUUCUGAUUUUUCCACUACUCAACACCCAAAUCCAAGUGCAAGAAUGCUUUCAAAUCACAAUCCUUCAAGCACAUCAUCAGAAGAAAUAGCAAAACCUACAAGGAAAUUUCCUUUACCUGCACGAAACACCAUUCAAGGUCUUAGAAGUGGCACUAGCUCUAGCUG
This 2804-nucleotide long non-coding RNA is filed under the name Phaseolus vulgaris (common bean). RNAcentral describes it as "long non-coding RNA (PVUL_LNC000406)". The record is from RNAcentral. Lineage: Eukaryota; Viridiplantae; Streptophyta; Magnoliopsida; Fabales; Fabaceae.